Molecule: ribosomal RNA, 515 nt
Filed under: uncultured bacterium
Lineage: Bacteria
Description: partial 16S ribosomal RNA
Rfam family: Bacterial small subunit ribosomal RNA
Source: RNAcentral
GAUGAACGCUGGCGGCGUGCCUAAUACAUGCAAGUCGAGCGAAUGGAUUAAGAGCUUGCUCUUAUGAAGUUAGCGGCGGACGGGUGAGUAACACGUGGGUAACCUGCCCAUAAGACUGGGAUAACUCCGGGAAACCGGGGCUAAUACCGGAUAACAUUUUGAACCGCAUGGUUCGAAAUUGAAAGGCGGCUUCGGCUGUCACUUAUGGAUGGACCCGCGUCGCAUUAGCUAGUUGGUGAGGUAACGGCUCACCAAGGCAACGAUGCGUAGCCGCCCUGAGGGAGUGAUCGGCCACACUGGGACUGAGACACGGCCCAGACUCCUACGGGAGGCAGCAGUAGGGAAUCUUCCGCGAUGGACGAAAGUCUGACGGAGCAACGCCGCGUGAGUGAUGAAGGCUUUCGGGUCGUAAAACUCUGUUGUUAGGGAAGAACAAGUGCUAGUUGAAUAAGCUGGCACCUUGACGGUACCUAACCAGAAAGCCACGGCUAACUACGUGCCAGCCGCCGCCGUAA